This 585-nucleotide ribosomal RNA is filed under the name uncultured bacterium. RNAcentral describes it as "partial 16S ribosomal RNA". It matches the Rfam family "Bacterial small subunit ribosomal RNA", at positions 355 to 1375 of the family's 1533-position model. The record is from RNAcentral.
UGGGGAAUUUUGGACAAUGGGCGAAAGCCUGAUCCAGCAAUGCCGCGUGUGUGAAGAAGGCCUUCGGGUUGUAAAGCACUUUUGUCCGGAAAGAAAUCCUCUGGGUUAAUACCUCGGGGGGAUGACGGUACCGGAAGAAUAAGCACCGGCUAACUACGUGCCAGCAGCCGCGGUAAUACGUAGGGUGCAAGCGUUAAUCGGAAUUACUGGGCGUAAAGCGUGCGCAGGCGGUUUGCUAAGACCGAUGUGAAAUCCCCGGGCUCAACCUGGGAACUGCAUUGGUGACUGGCAGGCUAGAGUAUGGCAGAGGGGGGUAGAAUUCCACGUGUAGCAGUGAAAUGCGUAGAGAUGUGGAGGAAUACCGAUGGCGAAGGCAGCCCCCUGGGCCAAUACUGACGCUCAUGCACGAAAGCGUGGGGAGCAAACAGGAUUAGAUACCCUGGUAGUCCACGCCCUAAACGAUGUCAACUAGUUGUUGGGGAUUCAUUUCCUUAGUAACGUAGCUAACGCGUGAAGUUGACCGCCUGGGGAGUACGGUCGCAAGAUUAAAACUCAAAGGAAUUGACGGGGUCAUAGCUGUUUCCU